RNAcentral lists this ribosomal RNA (253 nucleotides) under uncultured bacterium. RNAcentral describes it as "partial 16S ribosomal RNA". It matches the Rfam family "Bacterial small subunit ribosomal RNA", at positions 524 to 776 of the family's 1533-position model. The record is from RNAcentral.
UACGAAGGGUGCAAACGUUGCUCGGAAUUAUUGGGCGUAAAGCGCACGUAGGCGGCUUGGCAAGUCGGAUGUGAAAUCCCUCGGCUCAACCAAGGAAGUGCAUCCGAAACUGCUAAGCUUGAGUACUUAAGAGGAUCGCGGAAUUCCCGGUGUAGAGGUGAAAUUCGUAGAUAUCGGGAGGAACACCAGCGGCGAAGGCGGCGAUCUGGGAAGAUACUGACGCUGAGGUGCGAAAGCGUGGGGAGCAAACAGG